CUCAUGGACUGCUUAGAACAACAGUUUCAAAUAGAAGGCAAAAAAGAUGGAGAAUUGGUCAUAUAUCAACUAUGGAUUAGAGUCAAGACUUGAACUGACAGAAGUCUUUCUCAAUCCAGGACCAGGGACAAGAUGACUUGGAAGAACUUUGACCUGCACUUCGCCUAUCUGCCUAGGCAACAGUGUUAUUUACUUAGUUCCCAUUUGCAAGCUGAUUUUGUGUGAAUAAGGAAAGAGUCCAGAUUGGUCUGUAGAUUUCUAACAGAGAUUGGAACACUGGGGAGGUUGAGAAAAUAUUACCAACUUUGACUUCCAAAUCACUUUAAUAUGAUAGGAAAACUGCAUUUCUAAGCACAAAUGAAUGUUAUCUUGGAAUUUUAAUUCUAGACAUUAAAAGGGAUGGGGGAGGAGCAAGAAAUCUCCCUUCCAGAAUGAGAAUUUGCCAAACUCUAUGGCCUUGGCUGACUAAAGGCUAACUAUCAUUAGUCAUUUCUAAAUUAGAUACUGCUCACAUCAGUUAUAUUUGUGUGAGAUUGAAUUGGGAUUCAAAUAGUCCUUAGUGGUGACAAGUAAUUCACAAAAAUUGAACCUGCAGACCUCAAUUGCUAUUUCUCUUUAUGCUCCUACUGAUCAUACCAAAAAACAACCACCACAACAUAAAAAUCUACCACCAACAACAGCAAUUGGAAGUAAUGAAUUUUGAGGUAUAGAGGAUAGAGAGCUUGCCUUGGAAACAGAAGGAUUCUGAUACUGACUCUGUCACAUACUGGUUUUGUGACCCAGAACAAAUUAUUUGAUUUCUCAGGGUCUGAAGAACUUUCUAAAUCUAUCAAGUGCAGGACGUUAAUGAUAUAUAUUGAUAUAAGAAGACUCCUCAUUGGAAUAUUCCUACACCAAUGAAUAUGCAUACAACUGAGGAUACCUGUGACUAUCCUGUGAAGAUCAGAAGUAAAGAAAGAGAAUAAACAACUAAUUGAAUCCUGGGAGUACUAUCAAAAUACCACCAUGACCAUUCCCACCACCCACCCACACACACACACACACACACACACACACAUCCCUCUGUUUGGGGAGAGACUACUUUUUCUUGAGAAAAGCUAUGUAUACUGUAGGCACAUUCCUUUCUCUGGCUGAUCUGCUUCCUUUCCUCUCCCAUUUUUGGAAUUUUCUAUACCUAGAAUAUUCUCUGCUAGAAAAGACCAUGCUCUCUCAUUUUAUACUCUCCCUUAUGUCUCUUUAUCUAUGACAUCAGAGAUGGAAAAUUUAUCAAGUACACCUAAAAGAGUACUCCUUUUACAAACACAUAUGCAGCACAGAGAUACAUAUGUACUUGCCUCCUCUUGUAAAAGCUUGUGUCUUUUCCAGGGUUGUUGAACUGUCUUAUUAUAUGUACAUAGUAUUUUGUCCAGAAAUAACAAUGAUAAGAUCCUGUGAUAAUCUGGUUAGCAUGUACCUUUUGAAAAAUCAUAAUAGAUAAGUUUUUUAUUUCUGCUAUAACCUAAAGAUCAUCUCAUUUGAGGCUUGAAGAUAUCUCUGAAUUGGCUAUAUCAUAGGUGUAUUCUAUGUUCCCCAUUGGCUGGAAAGAACUGGAAUAAAGACACUUUGAUCAGUUUCCUACCAAAAGUCUUACCUUCCUCUGUCCUAUAUCUUCUUCUCAUCAAAUUUCCACCCAAUACAGCUCUGAAAGAUAGAACAAAAACAUC
Molecule: long non-coding RNA, 1703 nt
Organism: Antechinus flavipes (yellow-footed antechinus)
Lineage: Eukaryota; Metazoa; Chordata; Mammalia; Dasyuromorphia; Dasyuridae
Exons: 4
Source: RefSeq, a predicted model, not a curated record